AGAGUUUGAUCCUGGCUCAGGACGAACGCUGGCGGCGCGCUUAACACAUGCAAGUCGAGCGAGAACCGGUCCUUCGGGACCGGGGAAAGCGGCGAACGGGUGAGUAACACGUGGGUAAUCCACCCUUGGUACCGGGAUAGCCCGGGGAAACCCGGAUUAAUACCGGAUGGCCCAACAGCUCUUCGGGGCGGUUGGAAAAGGUAGCUUCGGCCUCCGACCAAGGACGAGCCCGCGGCGGAUUAGCUUGUUGGUGGGGUAACGGCCUACCAAGGCGACGAUCCGUAGCUGGUCUGAGAGGACGAUCAGCCACACUGGGACUGAGACACGGCCCAGACUCCUACGGGAGGCAGCAGUGGGGAAUCUUGCGCAAUGGGCGAAAGCCUGACGCAGCGACGCCGCGUGAGGGAAGAAGGCCUUCGGGUCGUAAAGUUCUGUUGUUAGGGAAGAACAAGUACCAGAGUAACUGCUGGUACCUUGACGGUACCUAACCAGAAAGCCACGGCUAACUACGUGCCAGCAGCCGCGGUAAUUC
This 532-nucleotide ribosomal RNA is filed under the name uncultured bacterium. Its description in RNAcentral is "bacterial SSU rRNA". It matches the Rfam family "Bacterial small subunit ribosomal RNA", at positions 8 to 526 of the family's 1533-position model. The record is from RNAcentral.